This 287-nucleotide ribosomal RNA is filed under the name uncultured rumen protozoa. RNAcentral describes it as "partial 18S ribosomal RNA". It matches the Rfam family "Eukaryotic small subunit ribosomal RNA", at positions 1275 to 1592 of the family's 1831-position model. The record is from RNAcentral.
UGGUGGUGCAUGGCCGUUCUUAGUUGGUGGAGUGAUUUGUCUGGUUAAUUCCGAUAACGAACGAGACCUUAACCUGCUAACUAGAUUCAAUUAUACUAUAAUUGAUAUCUUCUUAGAGGGACUAUGUAAUACAAAUACAUGGAAGUUUGAGGCAAUAACAGGUCAGUGAUGCCCUUAUAUGUCCUGGGCUGCACGCGUGCUACACUGAUGCAUACAACAAGUGCCUAACCAGACAUGGUAUGGCAAUCUCGAAUAUGCAUCGUGAUGGGGAUAGAUCUUUGCAAUUA